This 717-nucleotide unclassified non-coding RNA is filed under the name Dermacentor andersoni. Its description in RNAcentral is "uncharacterized LOC126538421". The record is from RNAcentral. Lineage: Eukaryota; Metazoa; Arthropoda; Arachnida; Ixodida; Ixodidae.
GGCGUGUGUUGUUUUGCGGUUUUCGAAAAAUAUAAAAUAUCGAUCGCUACUUCAAGAACAGCUGCUUACGCAUGGGUGCGAAGUUGUACUAUAGCAGGCACGUUUACGCAGUAAGAGAAAAAUCGGUGAACGCAAGAGGCCCGUCGGACAUCGUCGGCAAAUGUGUCGCCCAGAUGAAAAGCGUGGACUACGAUGUGCGUCUGGAGGUGAGCCAAUUCUUUCUUAAAAAAAAAAGAAGUGCCUCAAUAUCGCUAACCGCUUCAUUUCUUUUUCUUUUUUAGUUGUCAGAAAAUUGCAGAAAUAUCUUGCACACAAGCUGUACAUGCAAAGCUGGCUGCGGAGGCUGGUGCAAGCACGCCGCGGCCGUGGCGAUAUUCGUAAAUGAAUACGAAUAUACAUCGUGCACGGAUGUUCCAUGCGCAUGGAAGAAAUUGUCAUCGCGUCCCAACGUCGAUGUCAAAAAAUCAAUCAAGGAACUCUUUUCCCGUCGACCUUCGCGGAAACCGAUUCUGCAGAUGAUGGCACAAAGAGCGCCGCAUCCGCCUGACAAGUUCUAGUGCCCACAAGGUGAAGACGAGGAGAAGUAAUUUUGUUCGUCUGGCCGAAGCACUAGCUGCACCGAAAUGUUUUUCUACAGCUGCAACUUCAUAUAGAAAGAACACCGAAGAAACAGCAAGAGAGGAACUCGAGGUUUUUAUGGGGCUUCGCAUACAGCAG